This is a long non-coding RNA of Fukomys damarensis (Damara mole-rat), 531 nucleotides long. RefSeq lists it as uncharacterized. NCBI's taxonomy places the organism in Eukaryota, Metazoa, Chordata, Mammalia, Rodentia, Bathyergidae. The transcript has 5 exons. The record is from RefSeq and is a predicted model, not a curated record.
AGGUGGCAGCAAAUCUUCACUCCAGGUGACCAGGGUCCAGCCUCUUCGCUGGUGAAACGGCUUCCAUUUCUCCUAACUGCAGGACUUCACAUGUGCGACUUCACAUGGAACAGCUUUUCCUGGACAGUGCUGAGCCUGGGUGUGACGCCAGAUGUCGAGGCCGCCUUGCUGCCUGCCAAAUCUAGGACUUGCAGUGAAUGUACCAAGAAAGGAUGUUUCGAGCCACCACGAGACCUCGUUAGUAGGUGAAACUUUCCAAACAUGGCCUGGGCUGUGUCAAUAACCAGUGAAUCGCUUGUCACAAGAAUACAGCACGCCACUUAAAAUUUUGUGUCUGAACAAGAAUCCGAAGACAUUGAUUGUAGCUCUUUCAGCACUGACAGUUAUCCCUCACUGAAUUCGUGAAAUAUGCUUUUGGAGCCCUUCUCCUUCGAGCUUCAGCUGAACGUAUUUGUCACUGACUUGGCUCUUUAAUGUUGCAAGAUCUCCUUUAAGAAGCAGCUUCCUCAGUCUGAGCCCUUUUAAUGAAGA